Molecule: transfer RNA, 64 nt
Filed under: Maoricicada hamiltoni
Lineage: Eukaryota; Metazoa; Arthropoda; Insecta; Hemiptera; Cicadidae
Description: tRNA-His
Source: RNAcentral
AUUCAAUUAGUUUAAUAAAAAUAUUAAAUUGUGAUUUUAAAGAUAAAAGUAAAUUUAUUGAAUA